GAACGCUGGCGGUAGGCCUAACACAUUCAAGUCGAACGGCAGCACAGUAAGAGCUUGCUCUUACGGGUGGCGAGUGGCGGACGGGUGAGGAAUACAUCGGAAUCUACUUUUUCGUGGGGGAUAACGUAGGGAAACUUACGCUAAUACCGCAUACGACCUACGGGUGAAAGCAGGGGAUCUUCGGACCUUGCGCGAUUGAAUGAGCCGAUGUCGGAUUAGCUAGUUGGCGGGGUAAAGGCCCACCAAGGCGACGAUCCGUAGCUGGUCUGAGAGGAUGAUCAGCCACACUGGAACUGAGACACGGUCCAGACUCCUACGGGAGGCAGCAGUGGGGAAUAUUGGACAAUGGGCGCAAGCCUGAUCCAGCCAUACCGCGUGGGUGAAGAAGGCCUUCGGGUUGUAAAGCCCUUUUGUUGGGAAAGAAAAGCGGCAGGUUAAUACCCCGCUGUUCUGACGGUACCCAAAGAAUAAGCACCGGCUAACUUCGUG
RNAcentral lists this ribosomal RNA (489 nucleotides) under uncultured bacterium. RNAcentral's name for it is "partial 16S ribosomal RNA". It matches the Rfam family "Bacterial small subunit ribosomal RNA", at positions 31 to 507 of the family's 1533-position model. The record is from RNAcentral.